Molecule: ribosomal RNA, 776 nt
Filed under: uncultured Neocallimastigales
Lineage: Eukaryota; Fungi; Neocallimastigomycota; Neocallimastigomycetes; Neocallimastigales
Description: partial large subunit ribosomal RNA
Rfam family: Eukaryotic large subunit ribosomal RNA
Source: RNAcentral
CGAGCACGCGCGUGUGGCAUAUCAAUAAGCGGAGGAAAAGAAACUAACAAGGAUUCCCUUAGUAACGGCGAGUGAAGCGGGAAGAGCUCAAAUUUGAAAUCUUCAAGGUUCUACCUUGACGAAUUGUAGUUUAUAGAAGUGUUUUCUGUUAGUAGAGUGGCAAAAGUUCUUUGGAAUAGGACAUCAUAGAGGGUGAGAAUCCCGUAUUUGGUCAUUCUUUCUAGCUUUGUGAUACACUUUCAACGAGUCGGAUUGUUUGGGAAUGCAGUCCAAAAUGGGUGGUAAAUUUCAUCUAAAGCUAAAUAUUGGCGAGAGACCGAUAGCGAACAAGUACCGUGAGGGAAAGAUGAAAAGGAACUUUGAAAAGAGAGUUAAACAGUACGUGAAAUUGUCAAAAGGGAAGCGUUUGACACCAGUGUUGUUUUUCCGAAAAUCAAUUACGAAUGUUUUGUUUUUGAGGAGUUAUGACUUCAUCGGCUUGCUCCUUUCUUUACGAAACUUUCUUAAUGCACUUUUCGGUUAACAAGUCAACAUCAAUUUCUUUUGUUGUAAAAGGGUAUGAGGAAGGUGGCUUUCUUUUCGGAGAAAGUGUUUAUAGCCUUGUAGCCUCUGCAAUCGGAGAGAUUGAGGUCUGCAGCGUAGAUCCUUCGGGGUUAGAUACAUUUGUGCUAAGUUAUAGCUUUUCAUAGACAACUUGUUGACUAUGUUUAGUCUUGUAGCUUACUCGCUUACGCUAUUUUACCUACGCUUAGGAUGUUGAUGUGAUACUGCGAGCA